This 253-nucleotide ribosomal RNA is filed under the name uncultured bacterium. Its description in RNAcentral is "partial 16S ribosomal RNA". It matches the Rfam family "Bacterial small subunit ribosomal RNA", at positions 524 to 776 of the family's 1533-position model. The record is from RNAcentral.
UACGUAGGGCGCAAGCGUUGUCCGGAAUUAUUGGGCGUAAAGAGCUCGUAGGCGGCCUGUUACGUCUGCUGUGAAAUCCCGGGGCUUAACCCCGGGCGUGCAGUGGAUACGGGCAGGCUGGAGGCAGGCAGGGGAGAACGGAAUUCCCGGUGUAGCGGUGAAAUGCGCAGAUAUCAGGAGGAACACCGAUGGCGAAGGCGGGACUCUGGGCCGAUACUGACGCUGAGGAGCGAAAGCGUGGGGAGCAAACAGG